AUGAGGAGCUUGCUCCUUUGAUGUUAGCGGCGGACGGGUGAGUAACACGUGGGUAACCUACCUAUAAGACUGGGAUAACUUCGGGAAACCGGAGCUAAUACCGGAUAAUAUUUCGAACCGCAUGGUUCGAUAGUGAAAGAUGGCUCUGCUAUCACUUAUAGAUGGACCUGCGCCGUAUUAGCUAGUUGGUAAGGUAACGGCUUACCAAGGCAACGAUACGUAGCCGACCUGAGAGGGUGAUCGGCCACACUGGAACUGAGACACGGUCCAGACUCCUACGGGAGGCAGCAGUAGGGAAUCUUCCGCAAUGGGCGAAAGCCUGACGGAGCAACGCCGCGUGAGUGAUGAAGGUCUUCGGAUCGUAAAACUCUGUUAUUAGGGAAGAACAAACGUGUAAGUAACUGUGCACGUCUUGACGGUACCUAAUCAGAAAGCCACGGCUAACUACGUGCCAGCAGCCGCGGUAAUACGUAGGUGGCAAGCGUUAUCCGGAAUUAUUGGGCGUAAAGCGCGCGUAGGCGGUUUUUUAAGUCUGAUGUGAAAGCCCACGGCUCAACCGUGGAGGGUCAUUGGAAACUGGAAAACUUGAGUGCAGAAGAGGAAAGUGGAAUUCCAUGUGUAGCGGUGAAAUGCGCAGAGAUAUGGAGGAACACCAGUGGCGAAGGCGACUUUCUGGUCUGUAACUGACGCUGAUGUGCGAAAGCGUGGGGAUCAAACAGGAUUAGAUACCCUGGUAGUCCACGCCGUAAACGAUGAGUGCUAAGUGUUAGGGGGUUUCCGCCCCUUAGUGCUGCAGCU
This 798-nucleotide ribosomal RNA is filed under the name uncultured bacterium. RNAcentral's name for it is "SSU rRNA". It matches the Rfam family "Bacterial small subunit ribosomal RNA", at positions 71 to 853 of the family's 1533-position model. The record is from RNAcentral.